Durio zibethinus is the source of this 999-nucleotide non-coding RNA. The record is from RefSeq and is a predicted model, not a curated record. NCBI's taxonomy places the organism in Eukaryota, Viridiplantae, Streptophyta, Magnoliopsida, Malvales, Malvaceae.
AUUGAUGGUGCCCAGUUUCAACAGCCCAACUCACACAAAAGAAUUGUAGGAAAAAAAUGAGAAAGAAAGUUACCACUUAAUUGCAUACAGAGAGAAUAAGAGCAGAGAUAGUUUAACAGUAUUAUGAUUAUUAUGAUUAGACAAUCUGUAUCAAAGCUAUAAUGACAAAAGAAGAGAUUAGACAAAGAAAAAUGAUAAAGAAAUGCUAAUGAUUUAGCAGAACAUAUGUCCUUUAGACUCCGAAUGUGCUGUGGAUCGAGCACAAGAUACUUUGAUGAGGCUUUACCAAAUGUAGUUUUAGAACAUGAACAAAGCAUGUGAAGAAAAACGGUAAAUUAGAAAACAAAACAAGACUGAUCAAUGACACAUCACGUUGAUCAAUUACCUAUAAGAAAAAAUUAACCUAUAGAGAUGCAUAAGAAAAGCUGUGUCAAUGGACAUGGAGUGAAGUCCACACCUAUUGAACAGGAUAUUUAUAUUAAAGGCCAGCCAGAUUCACGAUAGAAAAUGCUAGAGUGGAAAUGUAUAUAGAGGAGAGUGCAAGGACUUUAGACUGUUAUAUAUUUUUAAGUUAUCAAAAUUAGAAUGUAAGCUUGCCUAUAAACCAUGGAAUCACAAGCUACACAGCGAUGAAGUGAUUAAUGUCUUUCUUGAUUUUCUUAAAGUGCAAAAGCUGAAUGAAGGAUCAAUGUUGACAUCUAAAGAGUCCUAUGUAUAGUGGCACUACUUGUUUAGGCAGAGCCAACAAAAUUAAUAAGCUGAAGAAUGUCAUAUAUGGGAGAAUUGCACUGCAUUCCAACUUGGUUGAGCUCAAUCACCCCAGUCACCAAAGGGAAUAAUAUAGUUAAAUGACACCGAAAUAUAAAUGCCCAAUCAGUCAAUGUGUGCCAGCUGGACAGCUAUAUAUUUUUAAUCAAUGUUUUGAAACCUGAACUCAAACAUCAUUUUGAUGUUUUAAACAAAAUGAUAAAUAUAAAAUCUACAACCAACAAAAAAAAA